AUGAUCUCUUGGGCAGCACAUAUACUAAAAUUAGGACAAUAGAGAGACAAUUAACAUAGCCUCUGAGCAAGGAUGGCAUACAAAUUCAUGAAGAAUUCUAUAGUUUU
Prolemur simus (greater bamboo lemur) is the source of this 107-nucleotide small nuclear RNA. The record is from Ensembl. Lineage: Eukaryota; Metazoa; Chordata; Mammalia; Primates; Lemuridae.